Non-coding RNA from Pelobates cultripes (western spadefoot toad), 223 nucleotides. Lineage: Eukaryota; Metazoa; Chordata; Amphibia; Anura; Pelobatidae. The record is from the annotation of a GenBank genome assembly.
CCGGAGCCUGCUCUGCAUGACUUCCUUUCUUUUCGUCCUAUCAGGCUGUUGCAAGAGGUCUUCCAACUGUACCUGUGUAAAUAUUUCAGGCAUUCCCAAUGCACUUCUCCAGCAUUCCUAAGGAUGGGAAACUGGUUAUAACAAAGUACUCACUGCAGCGGGUGUGGAAGGCAUAAGGUUUUUAUUCAGCCUGCAGAGUGAGGAAACUAAUUCAAAAGCAUUA